This 497-nucleotide ribosomal RNA is filed under the name uncultured bacterium. RNAcentral's name for it is "partial 16S ribosomal RNA". It matches the Rfam family "Bacterial small subunit ribosomal RNA", at positions 28 to 507 of the family's 1533-position model. The record is from RNAcentral.
GAUGAACGCUGGCGGCGUGCCUAAUACAUGCAAGUCGAGCGAACAGACGAUGCUCUUGCGCCUCUGACGUUAGCGGCGGACGGGUGUGUAACAUGUGUAUAACCUACCUAUAAUACUGGGAUAAUUUCGGGAAACCGGAUCUAAUACCGUAGAAUAUAUUGAACCGCAUGGGGCAAUAGAAAAAUACGGUUGUUGUGGCUGGUAUAGAUGGAUCUGCGCUGCAUUGGCUAGUUGGGAAGGUAACGGCUUACCAAGGCUACGAUGCGUAGACGAACUGAGAGAGUGAUCGGCCACACUGGAACUGAGACACGGUCCAGACUCCUACGGGAGGCAGCAGUAGGGAAUGUUACGCAAUGGGCGAAAGCUUUACGGAGCAACGCCGAGUGAGUGAUGAAGGUCUUCGGAUCGUAAAAAUCUGUUAUUAGGGAAGAACAAAUGUGUAAGUAACUAUGGACGUCUUGACGGUAACUAAUCAGAAAGCCACGGCUAACUACGUG